RNAcentral lists this ribosomal RNA (1575 nucleotides) under Triticum aestivum (bread wheat). Its description in RNAcentral is "partial small subunit ribosomal RNA". Lineage: Eukaryota; Viridiplantae; Streptophyta; Magnoliopsida; Poales; Poaceae. The record is from RNAcentral.
AUGAGAGUUCCCCCAAGCGAUGGCGACCACUACGCCGCCGGCGGUGGCGAUGGCGACUCCGCCCGCCGUCUUCGCAGCUCGUCGGGCCCCUCUCCAGCUUUCUACGGGGGCAGCCGGCUCCCUUCCGUGCCGAAAGCCUUGCUCCAACAGUGGCCGCAUCCGCAUCGAUGGAUCCUCCCCUGCAUCCGGCGGCUCGGCGGCGCAACGGCGGGUCUCGGGUCAGAUCCCUUUCUUGCCACCCCGGACCAAAAAAGGCACCGAGGAGAAAGGAAUAAACAGGGGCCAUGGCCGUGGGUGGCUUUGCCGGCGACUCAAGCAAGGCACCGUCUUUCUUACACGACUUCUUCCGGUGCCCCCGCCGGCGAGCCCAAAGCUAAGCAUCAGCCUGGCUUUGCAAGCCAGCAAAGCAUCCAGAUCCAUCACCCACCAACAAGACAGAGCACCACAUUUCAGCCUAAUUGCUACCGUCCCCUUCAACAUCUCCUAGCUAGCCUGGAAGCCAAACACACACACUCCGUUGAUUACCAAUUUCUUCACCGGUCUGUGGACAAAGAGAAAUCAACCAUGGCCAUGGUGCUGGACGUAUUUGCGUCCUACAUCGCCGACACGAUCAAGCAGAUGGCGGCGGACGAGGUGGGGAUGCUGCUCGGCGUCACCGGUGAGAUCGACAACCUGAAGGACAAGCUGGAGAGCCUGAGGGACUACCUCGCCGAUGCCGAGAGGAAGCACAUCACUGACCGGAGGGUGCAGGGGUGGGUCACGAAGCUCAAGGGUGUCAUGUACGAGGCGACCAAAAUCCUCGACCUCUGCGAGCUCAAGGCCAUGGGUCGGCGGGACGCAGCACCCUCACCCUGCUGCAACCCGCUGCUCUUCUGCUUGCGGCAUCCCAUGUCCGCUCACCACAUUGGUAGCUACAUCAGGAAGCUCAACAAGAGGCUGGACGAUAUCUGCAAGCUCGGUGCUGCCUUCAGCUUCAUCAAGCUGGAGACCUACCAGGACUACAGGCCCGGACGGCCUUCUGCGGCUGACCGGAAGACGGAUCCGGUGUUGGAGCGCUCGGCCGUGGUAGGGGAGAAGAUUGAAGAGGAUACGGGAGCGUUGGUGAAGGAGCUGACAAAGGAUAAUGAUGGCAUCGUGGUGCUCGCCAUCGUGGGUGUUGGUGGGAUCGGGAAGACCACCCUUGCCAAGAAGGUCUUCAAUGAUAUGGAAAUUCAACACAAAUUUGAAAAGAAGAUGUGGCUGAGCAUCACACAAGACUUCAGCGAGGUUGAGCUGCUAAGGUUGGCCAUCACCACCGCCGAUGGAAAACUCCCUGCAACUGAAGACAAAUCUAUGCUUGUGCCGGCCCUUCUCAACGCUGUCAGAAAUCAGAAGUUUCUUCUGGUUUUGGAUGACAUGUGGAGUGAUAGAGCAUGGACCUCAUUACUCAAUCGUCCCUUCAGCUACGGUGCCCCUGGUAGCCGGAUUAUUAUCACCACGAGAAAUGAUACGGUUGCCCGAGGCACAAGAACCAGAGAGCCCUACCACCGCAUCGACAAAUUAGGGCCCCGGCAACAGCGCCAGAAAAGAGCUUAG